RNAcentral lists this transfer RNA (92 nucleotides) under bacterium. RNAcentral's name for it is "tRNA-Ser". It matches the Rfam family "tRNA". From Rfam's summary of the family: Transfer RNA (tRNA) molecules are approximately 80 nucleotides in length. The record is from RNAcentral.
GGAAGGGUGGCAGAGCGGUCCAAUGCAACGGUUUGCUAAACCGUAGCCGUGUAAAAAGCGGCUCCAGGGUUCGAAUCCCUGCCCUUCCGCCA